Molecule: long non-coding RNA, 858 nt
Organism: Capsicum annuum
Lineage: Eukaryota; Viridiplantae; Streptophyta; Magnoliopsida; Solanales; Solanaceae
Exons: 3
Source: RefSeq, a predicted model, not a curated record
UUCUUUAUUAAGAAUAUAUAUUUUCAAACUUGAAAUUGUAUUAAACAGUGUUACAAAAGAGUGAUAUCACAAAGCUACUAAAGGAGAAAUGUAAAAUAUAUGGGAAAAACAAAGAACAAAGAUUCAUGCCAUUGUUAUCUGACAAAUAUUUUCAUCGUUUAUAAUUUUUUCGUUAGCAUAUUCUAUUUCUUCUUGCAAUUUUCUUUUGAUCUUCCAUGACAAAAGUGAAUGUAACUGUAAUUUGUCUGAAAAUAUAUUUGGAAUUAAGAAAACAAAAGCAGUUAACUAUAGGCAGUUUUUUUUUUGCAGAUUAUUUAUUUUAUUUUUUAACUGAUAUUUAAUUUGUCAGCAGUUGAAUAUUAUGGAGUUCUAAAACAUGCAAUGUGUCGAUUUUUCAAUAGACUUUCAUUGAACAAUUAUGGAUUGGUCCCAAAUCUAACAUUCCAAAUGCUGCAAAGUCAAUUAAGAUGGAAGUUGGCUGGAGAAACUGCUGAGAUCUUAAACUUCCAGUCUGUGUCUUCCGUCUUAGCUGCCUGUAUAGACAACAAACGUGCAAUAAUACUCCAGUAAAAAGCUUCCUCGGCUUGAUCAUGUUCUACUUAACAAUUUUUAAAGAGCUUUGGCGCUGCCUGUAUUUUAACCUUUUGAAAAAUCUGUUUUUGGUGUAUUGGAGCUCAUAAUGACGACCAUCAACUAUGUUGCAAAGAGCUCUGGCUUUUACUUGCUGAUUCAAAAUCUAAAUUACCACAAAUCGAGUUUCAAGCCUCAGAGGUCACUGGAAGUGAUUAUGUUCACCUCAGAAGAGCCCACGAGAUUCGGGAUCAGCUGUCUGGGAAGGUUAGAAGCUUGAUCACUUAC